ACGGCAGCACGGAGCUUGCUCUGGUGGCGAGUGGCGAACGGGUGAGUAAUAUAUCGGAACGUACCCUGGAGUGGGGGAUAACGUAGCGAAAGUUACGCUAAUACCGCAUACGAUCUAAGGAUGAAAGUGGGGGAUCGCAAGACCUCAUGCUCGUGGAGCGGCCGAUAUCUGAUUAGCUAGUUGGUAGGGUAAAAGCCUACCAAGGCAUCGAUCAGUAGCUGGUCUGAGAGGACGACCAGCCACACUGGAACUGAGACACGGUCCAGACUCCUACGGGAGGCAGCAGUGGGGAAUUUUGGACAAUGGGCGAAAGCCUGAUCCAGCAAUGCCGCGUGAGUGAAGAAGGCCUUCGGGUUGUAAAGCUCUUUUGUCAGGGAAGAAACGGUGAAGGCUAAUAUCCUUUGCUAAUGACGGUACCUGAAGAAUAAGCACCGGCUAACUACGUGCCAGCAGCCGCGGUAAUACGUAGGGUGCAAGCGUUAAUCGGAAUUACUGGGCGUAAAGCGUGCGCAGGCGGUUUUGUAAGUCUGAUGUGAAAUCCCCGGGCUCAACCUGGGAAUUGCAUUGGAGACUGCAAGGCUAGAAUCUGGCAGAGGGGGGUAGAAUUCCACGUGUAGCAGUGAAAUGCGUAGAUAUGUGGAGGAACACCGAUGGCGAAG
Molecule: ribosomal RNA, 659 nt
Filed under: uncultured bacterium
Lineage: Bacteria
Description: bacterial SSU rRNA
Rfam family: Bacterial small subunit ribosomal RNA
Source: RNAcentral